RNAcentral lists this ribosomal RNA (276 nucleotides) under Triticum aestivum (bread wheat). Its description in RNAcentral is "partial small subunit ribosomal RNA". The record is from RNAcentral. Lineage: Eukaryota; Viridiplantae; Streptophyta; Magnoliopsida; Poales; Poaceae.
AUGGUUUUGGAUGCCAAAGCUCCACCGGCCGUGGCGACGGCCUGCGAGCUCGUCGUCGAUGUCAACUUCGAUGCGACCAGGGCACGGCCUGCAAGUAACGGCAGCGCGUCUUCUAAAGCGAGAUCAAGGUAUUUUGAGGGUGUCGUCCCGAUAGAUUUGCCGCUAGACGAUGAGAGGAGGAUGAAGCAGGAGCUGGUCGCCUGGGCAAAGGCCGUGGCAUCCAUGGCCAUCAGGGCAUAUCACCGCAAUGCUGAGGUCGUAGCGUCAGGUGUAUAG